AUAAAAAAAGCCCCUAGAUAUAUCAUCUAGGGUAAAUUGACAAAUGAUUUCCAUUUGUCUAAUGGGAGAGGAGAAACCGGAGGAAGAACUUAUGGGGAAAAGUCUUCUCCGCGG
This is a regulatory RNA element of 114 nucleotides. It matches the Rfam family "ylbH leader". From Rfam's summary of the family: This family is a putative regulatory RNA structure that is found upstream of the ylbH gene in B. subtilis and related low GC Gram-positive bacteria. The record is from Rfam.